RNAcentral lists this ribosomal RNA (367 nucleotides) under uncultured organism. RNAcentral describes it as "partial 16S ribosomal RNA". It matches the Rfam family "Bacterial small subunit ribosomal RNA", at positions 527 to 896 of the family's 1533-position model. The record is from RNAcentral.
GGAGGGGGCAAGCGUUGUUCGGAAUUACUGGGCGUAAAGGGCGCGUAGGCGGAAGAUCAAGUCAGGGGUGAAAGGCCUGGGCUCAACCCGGGAACUGCCUUUGAAACUGGUUUUCUAGAGUACGGGAGAGGAUGGCGGAAUUCCCAGUGUAGAGGUGAAAUUCGUAGAUAUUGGGAAGAACACCAGUGGCGAAGGCGGCCAUCUGGCCCGGUACUGACGCUAAGGCGCGAAAGCGUGGGGAGCAAACAGGAUUAGAUACCCUGGUAGUCCACGCCGUAAACGAUGUGUGCUAGCCGUUGGGGCCUCAGGUCUCGGUGGCGCAGCUAACGCGUUAAGCACACCGCCUGGGAGUACGGCCGCAAGGUUA